Molecule: RNA transcript, 1400 nt
Organism: Centropristis striata (black sea bass)
Lineage: Eukaryota; Metazoa; Chordata; Actinopteri; Perciformes; Serranidae
Gene: tmem150b
Gene name: transmembrane protein 150B
Exons: 7
Source: RefSeq, a predicted model, not a curated record
GUGGGUUAAGUUUUCACAGAGAGCUGCAUCUCAAACAGUGAGUACACGUCUUUCGCACUGUUCAUUCAUGUUAUGUUUUAUUUUUACACUUUCACUUUGACAUAUGUCCAUUUCCCUCUAUGUAUUUUUACUUUACCUGCUAUGACCUCUUUGUUUUGUAAGGGAGAGGUGUGUGUGUAAGGUCAUUGGUAUGCGUGUGUGUGCAUGUGUGUGUGUGUUUCCCUCCAUGAACCGAGCAGCAGCAGCAGCUGUAGCAACAUGUGGCUGUGGGCAUUGCUCCCUGUGUGUCUGGCUCUAUUUGGCACUGUGGGAAUUUGGACUGUGUUUGCUGUAUCUGUAACGAACGGAUCCGUCAACCUCACAGAAGGAUUCCCUUACAUCAGUCAGUGUGGCACUUACAACCCUCAGAGCUGUCUCUUCUCCCAGAUCUGCAACGUCUGCUCUGUCUUAGCCCUGUGGGUCGUGGUGAUCCGUUUCCAGCAGGUUAGGGACUUUGGAGACCAUGGAAAGGUCAACAUAGCCAGCAUCCUUCUGGGAUUCAUCUCCUCUGUAGGAAUCUCCCUCCUUGGCAACUUCCAGCAAUCAGUGUCAAAAAGUAUUCACCUUCUGGGAGCCAUGCUGGCUUUCUUCGUGGGCCUGGCCUACUUCUGGGUCCAGCUGUUUCUGACCUACAGAGGUCAGCCGUCUCAGGACCGAUGCUGGGUCGGACCUGCCAGAGCGACCUGCUGCGUCCUCUGUACCAUACUGGUCAUCGCUAUGACCGUACUCAGCAACACAGGCUUCCGCUCUGAAGCAGCUGUGUGUGAGUGGGCCCUGGUCAUGUUCUUCUUCUGCCUGUUUGGCCUUUUUGCAGCUGAGUUCAGACACAUCGACUGCCAUCGCCUCACUGUACAGAAACAAGCUCUCGGGAAUGACUGCAGGCCUUCCACUAUAGAAAUUAAUGGUUAUGUUGUAAAUACACUGAGCUGAUCACACACAAGUACAUUUAACGAACAAAUGAUCUUUAUACCUACAAUUACCAUUAUGUCUUGGAUGUAGGUACAAAGCCAUAAUGUACACAUUCCAUUGCUAUAUACAGUAUCUGAUAUUGUAGUAUUUUUGUAUUUGCCAUUUUGAAAGAUGCAUUAAUAACAAAUUAGUUUGAUAGUUUUAACAAAAGCUGUAUUUCAAACUUUUUUAAUAUUUUUAUCUUGUGCUUUUAUAAGAUUUACUACCUUUAUCCACGUUAUUUUCCAGUUUUUUUUAAAUAAUAAUCUAUUAUCUACAUUUUAUUAAUUAUGUGUUUGCCCUAAAAUAAUAUUUAGGCUGCGUUUACACUGCAACCAUUAGUGCUCAAUUCAGAUUUAUUGCUCGGAUCAGAGUUUUUUUUUUUUUUUUUAAUUAUUGAUAUUACAUAAAUC